AAAAAAGGUAAGCUACUAAGAGCGAAUGGUGGAUGCCUUGACUGGUAAAGGCGAUGAAGGACGUACUAGACUGCGAUAAGCUACGGGGAGCUGUCAAGAAGCUUUGAUCCGUAGAUUUCCGAAUGGGGCAACCCAAUGUAUAGAGAUAUACAUUACCUAUAUAGGAGCGAACGAGGGGAAUUGAAACAUCUUAGUACCCUCAGGAAAAGAAAUCAAUAGAGAUUGCGUCAGUAGCGGCGAGCGAAAGCGCAAGAGGGCAAACCCAGUGCUUGCACUGGGGGUUGUAGGACUGCAAUGUGCAAGAGGUGAGUUUAGCAGAACAUUCUGGAAAGUAUAGCCAUAGAGGGUGAUAGUCCCGUAUGCGAAAAACAAACCUUAGCUAGCAGUAUCCUGAGUAGGGCGGGACACGAGAAAUCCUGUCUGAAGCUGGGUCGACCACGAUCCAACCCUAAAUACUAAUACCAGAUCGAUAGUGCACAAGUACCGUGAGGGAAAGGUGAAAAGAACUGAGGUGAUCAGAGUGAAAUAGAACCUGAAACCAUUUGCUUACAAUCAUUCAGAGCCCUAUGUAGCAAUACAGGGUGAUGGACUGCCUUUUGCAUAAUGAGCCUGCGAGUUGUGGUGUCUGGCAAGGUUAAGCAAACGCGAAGCCGUAGCGAAAGCGAGUCUGAAUAGGGCGCUUAGUCAGAUGCUGCAGACCCGAAACGAAGUGAUCUAUCCAUGAGCAAGUUGAAGCUAGUGUAAGAACUAGUGGAGGACUGAACCCAUAGGCGUUGAAAAGCCCCGGGAUGACUUGUGGAUAGGGGUGAAAGGCCAAUCAAACUUCGUGAUAGCUGGUUCUCUCCGAAAUAUAUUUAGGUAUAGCGUUGUGUCGUAAUAUAAGGGGGUAGAGCACUGAAUGGGCUAGGGCAUACACCAAUGUACCAAACCCUAUCAAACUCCGAAUACCUUAUAUGUAAUCACAGCAGUCAGGCGGCGAGUGAUAAAAUCCGUCGUCAAGAGGGAAACAACCCAGACUACCAGCUAAGGUCCCUAAAUCUUACUUAAGUGGAAAACGAUGUGAAGUUACUUAAACAACCAGGAGGUUGGCUUAGAAGCAGCCAUCCUUUAAAGAAAGCGUAAUAGCUCACUGGUCUAGUGAUUUUGCGCGGAAAAUAUAACGGGGCUAAAGUAAGUACCGAAGCUGUAGACUUGCGCACAACUUAGAUUAUUUAAGUUUAGAAUAUGAGAAACUAAGUUAUAUGUUUAGUUAUAUUUUUACUGAUUUUUAUAGAGUAAAGAUAGAAAUAAAACUUAGUAAAAUCAGUAAAAAUAUUCUUAGACUAAAGUUAAGUAGUUUAAGUUGUGUGCAAGUGGUAGGAGAGCGUUCUAUUUGCGUCGAAGGUAUACCGGUAAGGAGUGCUGGAGCGAAUAGAAGUGAGCAUGCAGGCAUGAGUAGCGAUAAUUAAUGUGAGAAUCAUUAACGCCGUAAACCCAAGGUUUCCUACGCGAUGCUCGUCAUCGUAGGGUUAGUCGGGUCCUAAGUCGAGUCCGAAAGGGGUAGACGAUGGCAAAUUGGUUAAUAUUCCAAUACCAACAUUAGUGUGCGAUGGAAGGACGCUUAGGGCUAAGGGGGCUAGCGGAUGGAAGUGCUAGUCUAAGGUCGUAGGAGGUUAUACAGGCAAAUCCGUAUAACAAUACUCCGAGAACUGAAAGGCUUUUUGAAGUCUUCGGAUGGAUAGAAGAACCCCUGAUGCCGUCGAGCCAAGAAAAGUUUCUAAGUUUAGCUAAUGUUGCCCGUACCGUAAACCGACACAGGUGGGUGGGAUGAGUAUUCUAAGGCGCGUGGAAGAACUCUCUUUAAGGAACUCUGCAAAAUAGCACCGUAUCUUCGGUAUAAGGUGUGGUUCGCUUCGUAUUAGGAUUUACUCCGAAAGCGAAGAAACUUACAACAAAGAGUCCCUCCCGACUGUUUACCAAAAACACAGCACUCUGCUAACUCGUAAGAGGAUGUAUAGGGUGUGACGCCUGCCCGGUGCUCGAAGGUUAAUUGAUGGGGUUAGCAUUAGCGAAGCUCUUGAUCGAAGCCCGAGUAAACGGCGGCCGUAACUAUAACGGUCCUAAGGUAGCGAAAUUCCUUGUCGGUUAAAUACCGACCUGCAUGAAUGGCGUAACGAGAUGGGAGCUGUCUCAAAGAGGGAUCCAGUGAAAUUGUAGUGGAGGUGAAAAUUCCUCCUACCCGCGGCAAGACGGAGAGACCCCGUGGACCUUUACUACAGC
Molecule: ribosomal RNA, 2259 nt
Filed under: Campylobacter coli
Lineage: Bacteria; Pseudomonadati; Campylobacterota; Epsilonproteobacteria; Campylobacterales; Campylobacteraceae
Description: partial 23S ribosomal RNA
Rfam family: Bacterial large subunit ribosomal RNA
Source: RNAcentral